GGGGUGUGCUCAGAGCGGGGGGCCUGAAGAAACGGCUCCUCUGUUCACAGCAUACCCAACAGGAAUCUGGGUGCAUUGUGACAAGGGGCACAAAACUUGUGGCCUUCCUAUGAACAAAUACCCAACCCGU
This 130-nucleotide small nucleolar RNA is filed under the name Balaenoptera musculus (blue whale). Its description in RNAcentral is "Small nucleolar RNA SNORA11 (ENSBMSG00010013829.1)". It matches the Rfam family "Small nucleolar RNA SNORA11". From Rfam's summary of the family: U107 (SNORA11) is a member of the H/ACA class of snoRNAs that guide the sites of modification of uridines to pseudouridines. This snoRNA was identified by RT-PCR from blood cells and its expression confirmed by Northern blot analysis. There is no predicted target for this guide snRNA. Lineage: Eukaryota; Metazoa; Chordata; Mammalia; Artiodactyla; Balaenopteridae. The record is from Rfam by way of RNAcentral.